GUCUUUUCGAGGUAGGAGUCGACUCCUGUGAGGUAUGGUGCUGGGUGCAGAUGCAGUGUGGCUCUGGAUAGCACCUUAUGGACAGUUGUGUCCCCAAGGAAGGAUGAGAAUAGCUACUGAAGUCCUAAAGAGCAAGCCUAACUCAAGCCAUUGGCACACAGGCAUUAGACAGAAAGCUGGAAGUUGAAAUGGUAAGUGAAACUGUAUCCAAGUAAGCAGGUAACUGGGCAAACUUCCUACGGCACAAAUGGCUUUUUAGUUACCUCCUAGUGCUGAAUGCAUUAAAUAAAUGGCGGAUUCUUGUCUUGUUAUGAUUAAUAAGAAAGUUUGUAAAUGCAGCCUGGAUGAUGAUAAGCAAAUGCUGACUGAACAUGAAGGUCUUAAUUAGCUCUAACUGACUAAAGGCAUUUGUUAGUUUUGGCAGGGGGUGAACACUCAUCUGUGGCUAUUCUAAGACCACUCUUAUUUCUUAGGUGGAGUCCAACUUGCCUGGACCAGCUUAAUGGUUCUGCUCCUGGUAACGUUUUUAUCCAUGGAUGACUUGCUUGGGUAUGGAGAGUCGGCUUGACUACACUGUGUGGAG
Long non-coding RNA from Homo sapiens (human), 583 nucleotides. Ensembl annotates it as growth arrest specific 5. Its record names the gene GAS5. The record is from Ensembl. Lineage: Eukaryota; Metazoa; Chordata; Mammalia; Primates; Hominidae.